GCUCAGAUUGAACGCUGGCGGCAUGCCUUACACAUGCAAGUCGAACGGCAGCACGGGUGCUUGCACCUGGUGGCGAGUGGCGAACGGGUGAGUAAUACAUCGGAACAUGUCCUGUAGUGGGGGAUAGCCCGGCGAAAGCCGGAUUAAUACCGCAUACGAUCCACGGAUGAAAGCGGGGGACCUUCGGGCCUCGCGCUAUAGGGUUGGCCGAUGGCUGAUUAGCUAGUUGGUGGGGUAAAGGCCUACCAAGGCGACGAUCAGUAGCUGGUCUGAGAGGACGACCAGCCACACUGGGACUGAGACACGGCCCAGACUCCUACGGGAGGCAGCAGUGGGGAAUUUUGGACAAUGGGCGAAAGCCUGAUCCAGCAAUGCCGCGUGUGUGAAGAAGGCCUUCGGGUUGUAAAGCACUUUUGUCCGGAAAGAAAUCCUUGGCUCUAAUACAGUCGGGGGAUGACGGUACCGGAAGAAUAAGCACCGGCUAACUACGUGCCAGCAGCCGCGGUAAUACGUAGGGUGCGAGCGUUAAUCGGAAUUACUGGGCGUAAAGCGUGCGCAGGCGGUUUGCUAAGACCGAUGUGAAAUCCCCGGGCUCAACCUGGGAACUGCAUUGGUGACUGGCAGGCUAGAGUAUGGCAGAGGGGGGUAGAAUUCCACGUGUAGCAGUGAAAUGCGUAGAGAUGUGGAGGAAUACCGAUGGCGAAGGCAGCCCCCUGGGCCAAUACUGACGCUCAUGCACGAAAGCGAUUUUCGGGGAGCAAACAGGAUUAGAUACCCUGGUAGUCCACGCCCUAAACGAUGUCAACUAGUUGUUGGGGAUUCAUUUCCUUAGUAACGUAGCUAACGCGUGAAGUUGACCGCCUGGGGAGUACGGUCGCAAGAUUAAAACUCAAAGGAAUUGACGGGGACCCGCACAAGCGGUGGAUGAUGUGGAUUAAUUCGAUGCAACGCGAAAAACCUUACCUACCCUUGACAUGGUCGGAAUCCUGCUGAGAGGUGGGAGUGCUCGAAAGAGAACCGGCGCACAGGUGCUGCAUGGCUGUCGUCAGCUCGUGUCGUGAGAUGUUGGGUUAAGUCCCGCAACGAGCGCAACCCUUGUCCUUAGUUGCUACGCAAGAGCACUCUAAGGAGACUGCCGGUGACAAACCGGAGGAAGGUGGGGAUGACGUCAAGUCCUCAUGGCCCUUAUGGGUAGGGCUUCACACGUCAUACAAUGGUCGGAACAGAGGGUUGCCAACCCGCGAGGGGGAGCUAAUCC
Molecule: ribosomal RNA, 1258 nt
Filed under: Burkholderia sp. A-8
Lineage: Bacteria; Pseudomonadati; Pseudomonadota; Betaproteobacteria; Burkholderiales; Burkholderiaceae
Description: bacterial SSU rRNA
Rfam family: Bacterial small subunit ribosomal RNA
Source: RNAcentral